Molecule: long non-coding RNA, 552 nt
Filed under: Brachypodium distachyon (stiff brome)
Lineage: Eukaryota; Viridiplantae; Streptophyta; Magnoliopsida; Poales; Poaceae
Description: long non-coding RNA (BDIS_LNC003781)
Source: RNAcentral
GGUAUCCAGGGUUGCUGCCAGGGUGUGCAGGGCCAGGGCCACCUUGGUAUCCAGGAGGCCCGCCUUGGUUACCAGAACCCUGGUACCCAGGAGGUCCGCCUUGGUUACCCUGAUACCCAGGAGGUCCGCCUUGGUUACCCUGAUACCCAGAAGGUCCACCCUGGUAGCCAGGAGCACCGCUUUGCUGAUAGUUUUGUGCACCACCAGGUGCAUAGCCCGGCUGACUUCCCUGUGUGUACCCUGCCUGCGGGUUUGGCAUGUGGGGUGAACCGCCUGGUGUGUAAGCUGCCUGUGGGUUCUGCAUGUGAGAUUGAUAAUGCGGUGGACCCCCAGCCGUAUGCAGUGGAGGCGGUGGUGGAGGCAUGCCUCUGUUCUGGCCCGGUGGUGGUGGAGGGCUGUUGAAGCCCUGGCCAGGUGGUGGUGGAGGGCUGUUGAAGCCCUGGCCAGGUGGUGGUGGAGGGCUGUUGAAGCCCUGGCCAGGAGGUGGUGGAGGGCUGUUGAAGCUCCCAGGAGGUGGGGGGGGGCCUGGGGGACUGUUAAAGCCCCCAGGAG